GGCGACAUAGCCAAGCGGUAAGGCAAGGGUCUGCAACACCCGUAUCACCAGUUCGAUUCUGGUUGUCGCCUCUA
This 74-nucleotide transfer RNA is filed under the name Lachnospiraceae bacterium. RNAcentral describes it as "tRNA_Cys_GCA". It matches the Rfam family "tRNA". From Rfam's summary of the family: Transfer RNA (tRNA) molecules are approximately 80 nucleotides in length. Their secondary structure includes four short double-helical elements and three loops (D, anti-codon, and T loops). Lineage: Bacteria; Bacillati; Bacillota; Clostridia; Lachnospirales; Lachnospiraceae. The record is from RNAcentral.